RNAcentral lists this ribosomal RNA (301 nucleotides) under uncultured bacterium. RNAcentral's name for it is "partial 16S ribosomal RNA". It matches the Rfam family "Bacterial small subunit ribosomal RNA", at positions 509 to 807 of the family's 1533-position model. The record is from RNAcentral.
CAGCAGCCGCGGGAAUACGAAGGGUGCAAGCGUUACUCGGAAUUACUGGGCGUAAAGCGUGCGCAGGCGGUUUGUUAAGACAGAUGUGAAAUCCCCGGGCUCAACCUGGGAACUGCAUUUGUGACUGGCAGGCUAGAGUAUGGCAGAGGGGGGUGGAAUUCCGCGUGUAGCAGUGGAAUGCGUAGAUAUGCGGAGGAACACCGAUGGCGAAGGCAAUCCCCUGGGCCUGCACUGACGCUCAUGCACGAAAGCGUGGGGAGCAAACAGGAUUAGAUACCCGUGUAGUCCCUGUCUCUUAUAC